AUGGACGCCGAUGAGGCUGCGGGAAGUAGCAGGAGGAUGGAUCUGAACCUGUACCUCGGCCUCCCCCGCGCCCCGCGGUCUCGCCGCUCCGACCUCGGCUCCGACCUCGCGCUCAGCACCCCGAUGCCCUCCUCGCCCUCCUCCUCUGCCGCCUCCGUCGACGCCCCUCCGCCUCCCGAGCCCCCGCAUGCCCCCUACUCCCCGUCUCGCGCCGGCCUUUCUCCUCCGCCACCAGAGGUGUACUCCUCGUACCAUCCCGAGGACGCGCACCUGCCGUACGCGCCAGCGCCGGUCAUCGAUGAGCUCCCGGACGACAUCGGCUUCGGCUUCCACCCCCCGCCUUCGCUGGUGCGAGCCAGCGCCUUUCUUUGGGAGGAUCGCCCGUCUUCAUCGACGGCCUCCUCCUCCUUCCUCCCUGACGCUGCAACAAGGUACAGGCGGCUGCUUGAGCAGACAGGAAGCCGGUGGCUCCGCUCUAGGCCCACUGGGCGGUUUAGAUCGGACCUUCCACCGCUCAGCUCCGAGGUUCAACCUCUAGGGCAUGAUGCAGCAGUGCCGGUGCCACAUCAUGAGGUGGCAAUUGAUAUCGUUGGAGAUGAUAAGGUAACCGGCAAUGGAGUAGAAGUAGGUGCCUCAGAGGAGUCGGAGGAGCGGGGCAAGAGCGUCGCCACAUUUGAGUGCAACAUAUGCUUUGAUAUGGCCGGAGAGCCGGUGGUCACUUCUUGUGGCCAUCUCUUCUGCUGGCCUUGCUUAUACCAAUGGCUUAAUGUCUACUCCAACCACAAGGAAUGCCCAGUCUGCAAGGGCGAGGUGACGGAGGCUAAUAUCACUCCUAUCUAUGGCAGAGGGAAUUCUUGUUCAGAUGCAGAGAAGGCUGCGGAUGAAGGCAAGCAGCCAGGUCUUACAAUCCCACCAAGGCCACAUGGAAAUCGUCUUGAAAGUUUCCGGCAGCAGUUUCAGCACUUACGCCCAAUGUCAAGAAGGCUUGGUGACGCACAUGGGAUACUGUCAUCAUGGAGGCGCCUUCUUGAUCAACAGAUCAUGAGUAGUGUGAGUAGAUUCGAAGGCCCGUCUGAACCUGCUGUGCAUGAAACAGGUGACGUUGCUCCACACACUGGCCGCCUAAGUAGAUUGACCACAAGGAUGAGAGCAAGACGGUUGCUGAGCGAGGUAGAUAACUCUCCUGAUGGUGCUUUUGCUGCCCCUGAUAGUGGUCUGCCUGGAAAUAGUGCGCCAGAUGCACCUAGAGAUGGUUCAAGCCCGGUUUUACCAGAAGGAUUUGAUUUGUUGCAACGGCUUACUCUUAUUGGCAUUGCAAAUACAGAAAGAUUGGCAACUGCCAUGAGUGACCUUAGAAGGAUAGCUACACCUGGCCAACACGGAGCAUCUGCUUCAUACCUUAGAAGGUUAGCUACACCUGGCCAAUACGGAGCAUCUGCUUCAUCGCCGAACCCUUUGAAUCCCGAGGCAACAGUUGACGGAACCCAUGUUGGUGCAGCACCUUCUACAGACCAAGCAUCAAACUCGAGCACCAUUGCAGUGAUACAGGGGGAUGCAGGUGUUUCUGAGACGGCGGGAGAGCCUAGUAACGCAGGUUCUUCGAGAACCCUGAGGAGGGGGAGGAGCAGCGCGUUGGCUUCUUUAGAUGUGGAUGGUGCCCCCCCACAGCGCAACAAGAGGCGGAGGAUGUAG
This 1692-nucleotide ribosomal RNA is filed under the name Triticum aestivum (bread wheat). RNAcentral describes it as "partial small subunit ribosomal RNA". The record is from RNAcentral. Lineage: Eukaryota; Viridiplantae; Streptophyta; Magnoliopsida; Poales; Poaceae.